AUCAACAUAAAACCAGCCCAGAUUCAAUGCCAACGUAUUUUCCAAUUAGGAGAGUAUUAUAAGAAUAUGUACAUAACUCCCAGCAUUUGAAUUUUCUUUGCAUGCAAAUAUACAUCAAAUUCUCAGCAAAAUCAGCACUACAUCCAAAUUCCAAGAAAAUUCAGCAUUAAAAGAAUGUCCUAGAUCAUGCAUGCCUUGCUUUCUUAUGACUCCUUCGUCAUAGUGCUCGCGACGAAACAUGAAUGAAGGCCAUCAUCUGAAUGUUAUAAAAUAGAAUGAUUAGAAACAAAAGAAAAGCACAUCUGACAACAUGUUAAGUUGUAUGCAGUCUGUACACAAAUAAAAAUAGAAGAACAAAAACGAUGCAUAGUUAUCGGUGAUACUAGUGAUUGCGAACAAUCUGUAAAUACAUUAUAUUAGUGACAAACAUCAUCAUAAAGAUAACAAUGGGGAUACAUGUAUGCCCAAAAUGAGCAAGUUAUUUUGUAUUUGAGAAACAGAAAAUAGUUCAACAUUGCAAACCUUGUUGUUCUACAACGUUUGGAAUUAGUUUGUUCAUUAGAAUGUUCAGUUUCUCCAUAUAACGUGGGUUUAUUUUCAGAUAAACUGACGCAAGUAUUUUUCUAGUAAUUGUAGUUGAAAUCAAUCGCAUGUUCCAAAAUGUUGUUAGGCUACAAUAAGACGGAGAAACCAACAUAAUGGAAUAAAUUAUGGGGACCAACUCAUAUAACACAAAUCAGUUAAAAUCUUUAAAAUGCUACAUAUAUGGGAUUCUUCUGCUCCUUUUCACCACUACAGGUGACUAGCAAUGUUGGCAGUUGGUGGGGCAAAUUAUUUAUUUUUUCAGCGGUCGUUUAAGAAUUUUUUGCAGUUUUCAAUCAAAAUAUUUAAGACUUUCUGAGCUUGCAUUUCUGUUUGCUAUGCCUGGAGCUACAAGAAACAAUGGAUGAAUGGAAAGAAUGGACCUACAAAGUAGUAUCUGGAAUGUGUGUGCACUAUGAACUGAUAGGUAGACUUGUGGUUGCUCAUAAAGUGAUUCCCCCAAUGUUCAGACACCUGACAGUAAGCAGUUAUUUAAUAUGAAGAUGCCAAUAUACAGGUUACUCCGUCAAAUUACACACCUGAGGUUCAGGAAACAUACUUGCCCAAUAAGGUGGAUUUCAACCAGUUUUUGUCAAUCUAAUAAAGCUCGCAUGGUAAUCACAAUUGUGACAUACAAUUAAAACACAAACUAGUCAUUAACUGGUACUUGGCCAAAUACAGUAGUUUCCUAAAUCAUGAACUAGUUACUAACUAUAUUUAGCUAAAUACAGUAUGUUCUUGAAAAGGCUAGUCGUGAAUAACACAGAUAGUCCAAAAUCAAUUGCGUGUAGAGGUGAACUUAUCUUCUUAUUUGAAUGUAAGAAGUUCUCUAGUUUAAGGUCCCGAUGGAUGAUUUAUGGCACAUCUAUCACAGUAUAAGAGCUUGGGUUACAUUUAUUACACUAGUUAUAAAAAGAUGGAUAAGAAUACUGGCACAAUAUAAUACUCCUCUGCAUAUAUAAUUAAAUAACGUUUGUGGAGUAAAUGUUAGCGAAAGUUUAGCUAAGAAAAAGGAAGUGAGCUUCGUGGGUGGUGCUGGAAACGGUAACAGAUUCAGCUGUCAACAUAAAUGGACAAAGAACAAGUAGCACCUAGAACUUAGAAGGAAGGUCAGAAUAUACAUACAAAUCCUUGGCGACCAGCUC
RNAcentral lists this long non-coding RNA (1727 nucleotides) under Hordeum vulgare. RNAcentral's name for it is "long non-coding RNA (HVUL_LNC015007)". The record is from RNAcentral. Lineage: Eukaryota; Viridiplantae; Streptophyta; Magnoliopsida; Poales; Poaceae.